RNAcentral lists this long non-coding RNA (420 nucleotides) under Capsicum annuum. RNAcentral describes it as "long non-coding RNA (CANN_LNC012053)". The record is from RNAcentral. Lineage: Eukaryota; Viridiplantae; Streptophyta; Magnoliopsida; Solanales; Solanaceae.
CACGGAACAUUGAACAUUGAAUACGGAAUCAUAACAGGAAUACACCCCCACCAAUUAAUUCCCUAUACUAGCGACCCGAACUGGCCCUAAUCCUCUGCCGUAAUUCGCAUCUUCCAGACCUUCCUAUCGAGGGUCAUGUCCUCGGUGAGCUAUAACUGUUCCAUGUCCCGCCUAAUCACCUCACCCCAGUACUUCUUCGGUCUACCCCUACCCCGUCUAAAACCAUCCAACGCUAGCCUCUCACACCUACGGACCGGGGCAUCCAUGCCCCUCCUCUUCACGUGUCCGAACCAUCUCAAUCGUGCUUCCCGCAUCUUACACUCCACUGAAGUCACACCAACCUUCUUCCGGAUAGUCUCAUUCCGAACUCUAUCCCCUCGGGUCAGUCCACACAUCCAGCGCAACAUCCGCAUUUCUGCC